Long non-coding RNA from Papaver somniferum (opium poppy), 2471 nucleotides. RefSeq lists it as uncharacterized. The record is from RefSeq and is a predicted model, not a curated record. NCBI's taxonomy places the organism in Eukaryota, Viridiplantae, Streptophyta, Magnoliopsida, Ranunculales, Papaveraceae. The transcript has 2 exons.
UCCUCUGCUUCAGAAGCGAAAAAUUUUGCGAUUCAAUUGAAUCGAUAGGAUAGUUAUAUUUGUUAGAUGAUUCUGGGUUGAUUGAGUAAGAGAAAGUUAGCCGACACUCUUCCUCUUCUCUUCUGUUUCUUCUUAUUCUUCUUCACCCCUGUUCUUUGCUCCUGUGAUUCUGAGAGUGAUUUUGAGAGUAUAAGAUCGAGAGAAAGGGGUGGCGGAAGUUUAGGGAAUAGAUCGUGAUGGUGUUAUUGAUUCAUAUAAUGAACUCGAACUCAGGGAAACGUAAAUCAGGGUUUGCUUGACAUGAAGCAGCUGUAAGAGAUUUCUGGGGUGCUGAGUCUUGAAUCAAGACAGGAAUGAUUUUGUUAGUGUUUAUGAGGAGAAUCAGAAAAAGGAUUGGUCUUAGAUUCGAUUUUGAGUUGGGAAUUGAAGAUGGUCUUGAUGGGUUUUGUUUGGAUUCUAUGGUAAUGCAGAUGAAGAUUACAGAGAAGAUGGUGGUGCUGUACAGGUUCUUAAAUCUGGUGGUGUUUGAAUUUUCAAUGGUUGUGUAGAGAUGAAAUUCAUGGAGCUACAGAUUUUGCUGUGACUGAAGGAACUAAUUGAUGUAUUCCUAGGUUAUGUGAUCUGGUAAUUGGUGCAGGCAAUUGAAGAUUAAGGUGGAGUCGGAGAUUUUGGAUGAUGUUUAUUUGUGUUGGUUGUGAGAUGAACAGGGAAGUGCUGAUGAUGGUUGUGUGGUGCAAACUGGUUAUGAUGAACUGUGUAGAUGGGGGGGUUGCAGACUCAGGGUUGAUGGUAGAUGUUAGAACUGAAACAACUGAAGCAUGGAUCUGAAGCUGGAAUUGAGAUAAAUUUAGAGUUUGUGGUUGAAUAGAGAAGAAUCCAAGAGCAACAAUUGAGAUGGGAUUUCAGAGAAGAAGAAAUUGGUUUGGCUUCACUGGUUGUGUGCUUGAAUUGCGGAAGAAUAGGUAGUGAUGGAGUUGAAGUAGUGGAUAUUGUGGGUUGCUGCUUUAGGAAUAUGUAGGUGAUUGUAUGGAGAUGAGCACAGAUCUGCGUGCUGAGAUGAGAUAAUAUUGAACCUGCAAUUCAUUGCAGUGAUGGAAUGAUGUUGUUGUAGGAGUCAGAACAUGGUAUUGAUGGUCUCAAACUUGGGUUUGGUUGUCACUCUUUACAGUGGUAGUUUGAUGAACUCUUAGAUGUAUGCUUAGGUCACAGGAGGUGGAUAUGCUGGUGGUAGUUGGUAUGAGCUGAAUUGAUUGUGCUCGAGUUGGUAAUGCAAUUGCAGUUGGAGCUGUUGAAUCUGUGACUGAGAUGAAGUUGCAGUUAAUGUUGCAUCUGGAUGUUGAGAUUGUUCGAGUCACUGGUGAAUUAUAGAGAUGGAGAAGAAGAUGUUCUCUGCUGGUGAUUGUAUAAUGGAAUGGGUUGCAAUUGCAGUCCAUAUUAAUGGAGGAGAUGAACUGUAGAUGUAUGCUUAGGAGUGAAUUAGUACAGCGUGAGAUGGUUUGAUGCUCAAUAGAUGUAUGUUAGGAAUUUACAGGGAGGUGUUGCUUGAACUGUAAGGAUUUGAGAUGGAUUGCUUCGCUCAAACUGGUGACAUUACAAGCUGAGUCAAUGAGGGAAGCAGAGAGGGGUCUCAACUGAAGUUGCAGUGAGAUGGUUGGUGAUACUCAAUGGAUGCGCAGUUCUGAAUUGCAGGUGAUGGUGAGCAGUUGUGGGAUUGAAGCUACAGAAGACUGAAGAGAUGGAGGUAAUUAUGGAGUUGGUAUGGUGAAGUUAAAAGAGAUGUAUUUGUUGCAAUUCAUGGAAGUAAUGUAUUGCAGGUGGUUUUGAGGUUGUGCAGUUGAGAUUUAAAUCAAGGAUGAAGCAGCUGAGAGUACAGGAAUUGCAGGAGCUAGAGAAAUGGAAUGAUGUGCCGAAUGUAUAUGAACUGAGCAUGAGAAUGGUUGAACGCAUGUUGGUGGGCUGGUUUGUAUUGUAGAGCAUAGUGUUGGUGUUGCACGCAAUAAGAAGAAGUGGAGUAAAUUUGGAGCAGCAGAAGAAGGAGCUCGACUCGGCGUUUCAAAUCAGUGAUUCAAGAAAAUCCAACUCUACUCAGGAGGAAGGGUUUUUUGGACAUUUUGACCCUGCCACCUAAGCGUUAACAGCUGGUAACUGCCGUUUUCCGUUUUUUGAAUAAAACGGUCAAGGCAAGGGUACUUUAACAAAUUUUUAAAAAACGGGGGCAUUUUUUUAGUGUAAUGUUAAAAGUAGGGGUACUUUAGCAAAAACCCCUUUAGAUAACCUAGUUUAAACUAUCUAAAAACAGGAAAAAAAAACAGUUUGCACAACUCUUAAGACAAGGAGAAGAGAGGAGUAUUCUAAGUACUUACAAUUAUACCCUGAUGGAUAAUAAUUAGUAAAAUUUAGAAACAAUUUAUAUUUUAAACUAUAUCAAGAAUAUUUGUAACUUUAUACGUUGAAAAACAUUUUAAAACAUC